GACGAACGCUGGCGGCGUGCCUAAUACAUGCAAGUAGAACGCACAGUUUAUACCGUAGCUUGCUACACCAUAGACUGUGAGUUGCGAACGGGUGAGUAACGCGUAGGUAACCUGCCUGGUAGCGGGGGAUAACUAUUGGAAACGAUAGCUAAUACCGCAUAAUAUUGAUUAUUGCAUGAUAAUUGAUUGAAAGAUGCUAUUGCAUCACUACCAGAUGGACCUGCGUUGUAUUAGCUAGUAGGUGAGGUAACGGCUCACCUAGGCGACGAUACAUAGCCGACCUGAGAGGGUGAUCGGCCACACUGGGACUGAGACACGGCCCAGACUCCUACGGGAGGCAGCAGUAGGGAAUCUUCGGCAAUGGACGAAAGUCUGACCGAGCAACGCCGCGUGAGUGAAGAAGGUUUUCGGAUCGUAAAGCUCUGUUGUAAGAGAAGAACGGGUGUGAGAGUGGAAAGUUCACACUGUGACGGUAUCUGACCAGAAAGGGACGGCUAACUACGCG
Molecule: ribosomal RNA, 505 nt
Filed under: uncultured bacterium
Lineage: Bacteria
Description: partial 16S ribosomal RNA
Rfam family: Bacterial small subunit ribosomal RNA
Source: RNAcentral